ACAUCCAGUUUGGUGCCGCUGCCGAAAGUGACCCACAGUGAUACAAACUAAUAGAGCAGCUGAACAAAAACCUCCUGAACGCUUCACUAACUGCACAAACACACAUCAGCUGAGUCUCCAACAAACACAUCCACUCACAGCACAAACUACCUUCAUUUACUUCAUCUGCUUUAUGCAGUCUGUGUUAUUACUAAAGCAUGAACAUGAGUUUAAGAAAUUAACUUUUACAUCAUGUGUGACGCGACUGACAAUCAGACUCAGUUGAUUCAGUGACUGACAGAGACACGUGUGAUGAUCCUCAUGUCUGUUAAAAUCCUGCAGAAACAUCCAUGGAUUUGGUGUAAAACUUAGGAAUUUACAGUCGUGUUUCUGUCCAACUACAGUCAUAAAUAUUUUCGAAGUCUCACAGGAGAGAGUCAGGAUCAUAUACUAAAGUUGGCCUUGAAUACUGAUUCAGAAGUUAAUGAUCUGAUAUCAUUUAUAACAGCUUGGUUAUUAGAAGAUCAAAUAUUGAAAGAUUAAUUAGUAAUUGUAUUUUGUGUCUGUUAAUGAGCGACUGUCUUCAGGUAAAUGAUCUGGAGUGUGUUUGCAUAUUGAUCAGAUGCUUCAGUGCUCUGAGAGUGUUUAUAGUGCUGUGAGUUUAACACUUCAUCACUGACACACACAACAAUCUUCAUCAACAUGACCUUUAUCAUCAUCUUCAUCUGGACUCUCACAGCGUUUGCUCAAGAGUGUAGAGGACAGAUCACCGUCACUCAGAGUCCCUCAACGACAGCAGCUCGACCAGAAGAAACAGUCAAAAUCAACUGUAAAACCAGCACAGAUGUGUACAGUUAUUCUGGGACAUACUUUUUCAGCUGGUACUUACAGAAACCUGGAGAAGCUCCUAAACUCCUGAUUUAUUACGCAAGCACCCUCCAGUCAGGAACUCCAUCUAGAUUCAGUGGCAGUGGAUCUAACAGUGAUUUCACUCUGACCAUCAGUGGAGUCCAGACUGAAGAUGCUGGACAUUAUUACUGUCAGAGUUAUCACAGUGGUGGUGUGUUCACACAGUGAUAAAGAGUUGUACAAAAACCUCCGUCAGUCAGAGUCACAGAGACUGAACUGAUCCUGCAGCUGCUCAAACACUAUCACUCACUACUGACACACAGAGACAAACACAGCAACUACACAUGAGCUCAGAACUGAGUUAGGAGUUCGGUAGUGAUGCACGGCUGGCGGUUGUAUCCGCAGGUGGGUCUGCGGGUGGGUCAUGUAAUAAAAAAAUACAUUCUAAUUAAUUGCGGGUGGGUCGCGGGUGGAUGAGGUAAAUCAUUAGUGAUGCAAAUAUUCUCUAAAAUAUGAACGUGUUUUAAAUUCAUUUUUUCGUCAGGCAGACAGACACACAGAUUUCAUUUUUGUGUGUGUUCGCUGUUCGGAAAGUUGCAGUGACAGAUACAGUGGCAUUCCAGAUAAAGUUUGAAUGGAGUAAAGCGUGUGUUUAUGCUAUCAAGAAAGUGAAGACUAUAAUCUGGACAAAGAAGAACUUUGUGUUUUAAUUAAAUGUUCAUUUAAAAGCAGCAUAUUAUCAUUGUAUUAGCCUGUUACCGUUACGGCUCCGUUCUCCACGCGGUGCCAAAUCACACCAGGAGCAAAGCAACUGGAUUCGCGAGACCACGAGAUUCUGGGAUGCUUCUGAAACAUGCCGCAGCAUGGCUGGUAUAAUAUAUAUACAUAUCUAUGGGUAUAAACACAAGCUUUGACUUGACUAGA
This is a non-coding RNA of Onychostoma macrolepis, 1752 nucleotides long. Lineage: Eukaryota; Metazoa; Chordata; Actinopteri; Cypriniformes; Cyprinidae. The record is from the annotation of a RefSeq genome assembly.